CAGUCGCCGCGGUAAUACGUAGGUGGCAAGCGUAGUCCGGAAUUAUUGGGCGUAAAGGGUUCGCAGGCGGUUUCUUAAGUCUGAUGUGAGAGCCCCCGGCUCAACCGGGGAGGGUCAUUGGAAACUGGGAAACUUGAGUGCAGAAGAGGAGAGUGGAAUUCCACGUGUAGCGGUGAAAUGCGUAGAGAUGUGGAGGAACACCAGUGGCGAAGGCGACUCUCUGGUCUGUAACUGACGCUGAGGAGCGAAAGCGUGGGGAGCGAACAGGAUUAGAGACCCCCGUAGUCCCUGUCUCUUAUAC
This 301-nucleotide ribosomal RNA is filed under the name uncultured bacterium. RNAcentral's name for it is "partial 16S ribosomal RNA". It matches the Rfam family "Bacterial small subunit ribosomal RNA", at positions 509 to 807 of the family's 1533-position model. The record is from RNAcentral.